Molecule: unclassified non-coding RNA, 225 nt
Filed under: uncultured Agaricales
Lineage: Eukaryota; Fungi; Basidiomycota; Agaricomycetes; Agaricales
Description: sequence contains ITS2
Source: RNAcentral
AAUACAAUCGAACGCAAGACUUGUUUUUUGUCUUGUGCUUUGGACUUGAAGGGUUUUGCUGAUUGUUAAAGUCAGCUCCUUUUAAAUGCAUUAGCGGACUUGUGAACCCUCCCCACCGGCUUCGGUUUGAUAGACCAUUUGAUCAUCUAUGCUGUUGCUGGUAAAAAGGGGUUUGACCGCUCAUAAAUGUCUUUAAUCAAGACUGGGACAAACCACAUUUUUAAG